Molecule: ribosomal RNA, 301 nt
Filed under: uncultured bacterium
Lineage: Bacteria
Description: partial 16S ribosomal RNA
Rfam family: Bacterial small subunit ribosomal RNA
Source: RNAcentral
CAGCAGCCACGGGAAUACGAAGGGGGCUAGCGUUGUUCGGAUUUACUGGGCGUAAAGCGCACGUAGGCGGACUUUUAAGUCAGGGGUGAAAUCCUGGGGCUCAACCCCGGAACUGCCUUUGAUACUGGAAGUCUUGAGUAUGGUAGAGGUGAGUGGAAUUCCGAGUGUAGAGGUGAAAUUCGUAGAUAUUCGGAGGAACACCAGUGGCGAAGGCGGCUCACUGGACCAUUACUGACGCUGAGGUGCGAAAGCGUGGGGAGCAAACAGGAUUAGAUACCCCCGUAGUCCCUGUCUCUUAUAA